GAUGAACGCUAGCGGCAGGCUUAACACAUGCAAGUCGAGGGGCAGCAUGAGGGUUAGCAAUAACCCUUGAUGGCGACCGGCGCAAGGGUGCGUAACGCGUGAGCAACUUGCCCGUUUCAGGGGGAUAACCGGUGGAAACGCCGACUAAUACCCCAUAGUAUUGAUUUAAGGCAUCUUUUAUCAAUUAAAGAAUUUCGGAAACGGAUAGGCUCGCGUGACAUUAGCUGGAUGGCGGGGUAACGGCCCACCAUGGCGACGAUGUCUAGGGGUUCUGAGAGGAAGGUCCCCCANACUGGAACUGAGACACGGUCCAGACUCCUACGGGGAGGCAGCAGUGAGGAAUAUUGGUCAAUGGUCUGACGACUGAACCCAGCCAUGCCGCGUGAAGGUGACGGCCCUAUGGGUCUUAAACUUCUUUUGUAAGGGAGCAAUAAGGUCUACGUGUAGAUUGAUGAGAGUACCUUACGAAUAAGCAUCGGCUAACUCCGUGCCAGCAGCCGCGG
This 503-nucleotide ribosomal RNA is filed under the name uncultured bacterium. RNAcentral describes it as "bacterial SSU rRNA". It matches the Rfam family "Bacterial small subunit ribosomal RNA", at positions 28 to 520 of the family's 1533-position model. The record is from RNAcentral.